Molecule: long non-coding RNA, 2030 nt
Organism: Oncorhynchus keta (chum salmon)
Lineage: Eukaryota; Metazoa; Chordata; Actinopteri; Salmoniformes; Salmonidae
Exons: 5
Source: RefSeq, a predicted model, not a curated record
ACAGGUGUAAUACUACAGGUGUAAUACUCAGUAGUCUAUACUAAUAACAACAUACAGGUGUAAUACUCAGUAGUCUCUACUAAUAACAACAUACAGGUGUAAUACUCAGUAGUCUAUACUAAUAACAACAUACAGGUGUAAUACUCAGUAGUCUCUACUAAUAACAACAUACAGGUGUAAUACUCAGUAGUCUAUACUAAUAACAACAUACAGGUGUAUUAAUACAGGUGUAAUACUACAGGUGUAAUACUACAGGUGUAAUACUCAGUAGUCUCUACUCAUAACAACAUACAGGUGUAAUACUCAGUAGUCUCUACUCAUAACAACAUACAGGUGUAUUAAUACAGGUGUAAUACUCAGUAGUCUAUACUAAUAACAACAUACAGGUGUAAUACUCAGUAGUCUCUACUCAUAACAACAUACAGGUGUAAUACUACAGGUGUAAUACUCAGUAGUCUAUACUAAUAACAACAUACAGGUGUAUUUCUCAGUAGUCUAUACUAAUAACAACAUACAGGUGUAAUACUCCGCACUCUGUCUGUUUACUUUACUUGACUUUGUUUACAGAUGUUUAGCCAAAUUAAGUCUCUGAGUCAAUUGGAGGUGUACCUGUGGAUGUAUUUUAAGACCUACCUUCAAACUCAGUGACUCUUUGCUUGACAUCAUGGGAAAAUCGAAGAAAUCAGCCAAGACCUCGACAAGUCUGGUUUCUUCUUUGGGAGCAAUAUCCAAACAAGGUACCACGUUCAUCUAUACAAACAAUAGUACGCAAGUAUAAACACCAUGGGACUACACAGCCGUCAUACCACUCAGGAAGGAGACGCGUUCUGUCUCCUAGAGAUGAACGUACUUUGGUGUGAAAAGUGCAAAUCAAUGCCAGAACAACAGCAAAGGACCUUGUGAAGAUGCUGGAGGAAACAGGUACAAAAUUAUCUAUAUCCACAGUAAAAUGAGUCAUAUAUCGACAUAACCUGAAAAGCCGCUCAACAAGGAAGAAGCCACUGCUCCAAAACCGCCAUAAAAAAGCCAGACUACGGUUUGCAACUGCACAUGGGGACAAAGAUCGUACUUUUUGGAGAAAUGUCCUCUGGUCUGAUUAAACAAAAAUAGAACCGUUUGGCCAUAAUGACCAUCGUUAUGUUUGGAGGAAAAAGGGGGAGGCUUGCAAGCCAAAGAACACCAUCCCAACCGUGAAGCACGGGGGUGGCAACAUUACGUUGUGGGGGUGCUUUGCUGCAGGAGGGAAUGGUGCACUUCACAAAAUAGAUGGCAUCAUGAGGCAGGAAAAUGUUGUGGAUAUAUUGAAGCAACAUCUCAAGACAUCAGACAGGAAGUUAAAGCUUGGUCACAAAUGGGUCUUCCAAAUGGACAAUGACCCCAAGCAUACUUCCAAAGUUGUGGCAAAAUGGCGUAAGGACAUCAAAGUCAAGGUUAUGUAGUGGCCAUCACAAAGCCCUGACCUCAAUCCUGUAGAUCAUUUGUGGGCAGAACUGAAAAAGUGUGUGCGAGCAAGGAGGCCCACAAACCUGAUUCAGUUACACCAGCUCUGUCAGGAGGAUUUGGCUAAAAUUCACCCAAUUUAUUGUGGGAAGCUUGUGGAAGGCUACCUGAAACGUUUGACCCAAGUUAAACAAUUUAAAGGCAAUGCUACCAAAUACUAUUUGAGUGUAUGUAAACUUCUGACCCACUGGGAAUGUGAAUAAAGAAAUAAAAGCUGAAAUAAAUCAUUCUCUCUGCUAUUAUUCUGACAUUUCACAUUCUUAAAAUAAAGUGGUGAUCCUAACUGACCUAAGACAGGGGAUUUUUACUGGGAUUAAAUGUCAGGAAUUGUGAAAAAAUGAGUUUAAAUGUAUUUGGCGAAAGGUGUAUGUAAACUUCCCACUUCAACUUUACUGUAUCCCCGGUACGUCUUAGUGACUUAGUACAAUAAGGGGUGUGGUUGCUGGAUGUUAGUGGGCGUGGUUUGUCCUGUAAGUGUGUUUCCAUAGUUACUGAGGCGUGUCCUCAGAGUGAUUGUUUGUUUAUUUGUU